This 264-nucleotide ribosomal RNA is filed under the name uncultured archaeon. Its description in RNAcentral is "partial 16S ribosomal RNA". It matches the Rfam family "Archaeal small subunit ribosomal RNA", at positions 717 to 982 of the family's 1478-position model. The record is from RNAcentral.
CCACGACUACAUUAGAUACCCCGGUAGUCCUAGCCGUAAACGAUACUCGCUAGGUGUCGGCCACGGUGCGACCGUUGUCGGUGCCGUAGGGAAGCCGUGAAGCGAGCCACCUGGGAAGUACGGCCGCAAGGCUGAAACUUAAAGGAAUUGGCGGGGAGCACAACAACGGGUGGAGCUUGCGGUUUAAUUGGAUUCAACGCCGGAAAUCUUACCGGGACCGACAGCAACAUGAAGGCCAAGCUGAAGACUUUGCCGGAUUAGCUG